This 322-nucleotide ribosomal RNA is filed under the name uncultured Chloroflexota bacterium. RNAcentral's name for it is "bacterial SSU rRNA". It matches the Rfam family "Bacterial small subunit ribosomal RNA", at positions 28 to 351 of the family's 1533-position model. Lineage: Bacteria; Bacillati; Chloroflexota. The record is from RNAcentral.
GAUGAACGCUGGCGGCGUGCCUAAUACAUGCAAGUCGAACGGAGGAUGUAGCAAUACUUCCUUAGUGGCGAACGGGUGAGUAACGCGUUGGUGGCCUGCCCCAAAGUGAGGGAUAACAGCCCGAAAGGGUUGCUAAUACCCCAUGUGGUCUUCGGGAUUAGAUGCCUGAUGACUAAAGGAGUAAUCCGCUUUGGGAGGGGCCUGCGUGCCAUCAGCUAGUUGGUAGGGUAAUGGCUUACCAAGGCUAAGACGGCUAGGGGACCUGAGAGGGUGGCCCCCCACAAUGGAACUGAAACACGGUCCAUACACCUACGGGUGGCAG